AUUGAACGCUGGCGGCAUGCCUUACACAUGCAAGUCGAACGGUAACAGGUCUUCGGAUGCUGACGAGUGGCGAACGGGUGAGUAAUACAUCGGAACGUGCCUAGUAGUGGGGGAUAACUACUCGAAAGAGUGGCUAAUACCGCAUGAGAUCUACGGAUGAAAGCAGGGGAUCGCAAGACCUUGUGCUACUAGAGCGGCCGAUGGCAGAUUAGGUAGUUGGUGGGAUAACAGCUUACCAAGCCGACGAUCUGUAGCUGGUCUGAGAGGACGAGCAGCCACACUGGGACUGAGACACGGCCCAGACUCCUACGGGAGGCAGCAGUGGGGAAUUUUGGACAAUGGGCGAAAGCCUGAUCCAGCAAUGCCGCGUGCAGGAUGAAGGCCUUCGGGUUGUAAACUGCUUUUGUACGGAACGAAAAGCCCCGAGUUAAUACCCUGGGGUCAUGACGGUACCGUAAGAAUAAGCACCGGCUAACUACGUGCCAGCCGCCGCAGUAA
This 498-nucleotide ribosomal RNA is filed under the name uncultured bacterium. RNAcentral's name for it is "partial 16S ribosomal RNA". It matches the Rfam family "Bacterial small subunit ribosomal RNA", at positions 30 to 523 of the family's 1533-position model. The record is from RNAcentral.